This 412-nucleotide ribosomal RNA is filed under the name Fejervarya limnocharis (Boie's wart frog). Its description in RNAcentral is "partial 16S ribosomal RNA". It matches the Rfam family "Bacterial large subunit ribosomal RNA", at positions 1835 to 2459 of the family's 2925-position model. The record is from RNAcentral. Lineage: Eukaryota; Metazoa; Chordata; Amphibia; Anura; Dicroglossidae.
CUUGACUUCCAUAAGAGGUCCAGCCUGCCCAGUGAUACUAUUAAACGGCCGCGGUACCCUGACCGUGCGAAGGUAGCAUAAUAACUUGUUCUUUAAAUGGGGACUAGCAUGAACGGCAUCACGAGGGUCUCACUGUCUCCUUUUUCUAAUCAGUGAAACUGAUCUCCCCGUGAAGAAGCGGGGAUAAAAAUAUAAGACGAGAAGACCCCAUGGAGCUUUAAACCCAAUAGACACCUCUGACUAAUCUAACCCAAAACACUUCUUAAGUUCUGUCUAUUGGUUUUAGGUUGGGGUGACCACGGAGUACAAUAAAUCCUCCAUGACGUACGGGACUUCCCUCUUAUCCUUGAACCACAUUUCUAAGAAUCAACAAAUUGACGUUUAAUGAUCCAAUAUAUUGAUCAACGGACCA